Pongo pygmaeus (Bornean orangutan) is the source of this 1857-nucleotide RNA transcript. It is a transcript of the gene named CARD and death domain containing adaptor protein, with no coding region annotated. Lineage: Eukaryota; Metazoa; Chordata; Mammalia; Primates; Hominidae. The transcript is spliced from 6 exons. The record is from RefSeq and is a predicted model, not a curated record.
AGGGGUUUCGCCUUUAACAAAGAUGGUGCUUAUGGGGCAGGUUCCCUAACAGUCAGGAUUCCGGUUGCAGUUUUUCUCCCCCGCCCCAAAGAUACGUGGUUGCAGACGGAGAAAUGGAGGCCAGAGACAAACAAGUACUCCGCUUACUUCGCCUGGAGCUGGGUGCAGAAGUAUUGGUGGAGGGACUGGUUCUUCAGUACCUCUACCAGGAAGGAAUCUUGACGGAAAACCAUGUUCAAGAAAUCAAUGCUCAAACCACAGGCCUCCGGAAAACAAUGCUCCUGCUGGAUAUCCUACCUUCCAGGGGCCCUAAAGCAUUUGAUACAUUCCUAGAUUCCCUACAGGAGUUUCCCUGGGUCAGGGAGAAGCUGAAGAAGGCAAGGGAAGAAGCCAUGACCGACCUGCCUGCAGCUUCUAGAAGAUGAAUCAAUUUCGUGAGGACUUGGCCAAUAUCAAGGUCUUCAGCACGACUCAUCAGCUCGUUGCUAAUCCGAGGACGACAAAUGCCUACAAAUGCUGGUGUUGGCCAUGAUCCUUAUGAUGGGGAGGAAAGGAAUCACCAAUUUUCUACUCCAUCCCACCGAACAACUUAGAGAUGACCUAAGGCCUCGUUACCUGUGUGGAGUAACUGGGAAUUGGAAGGGAGAACAUUUAUUAAUGAAGAAUAACUCAAAGGAAAGGAAGGGGUCCUGGUCUCCCAUGCUUCCUCAUGGGAGCCUUGGGGAAGGAUGAAGAGACGGGGUCUCCCUGUGUUGCCCAGGCUGUGAGCACCUGGGCUCAAGCCAUCCUCCUGCCUUGGUCUCCCAUAGUACUGGUAUUACAGACAUGAGCCACUGUAUUUGGCUCAUGUAGGGGGUUUCUUAACCAUCACUGCUUUUAGGGAACAAAAGCCUUAGAGGAAGUUUAACAGUGUCAAAAUUCUUCAACUUUUAAGAGGCCAACGCAAAUGAAAAAAAAAAAACAAAAAACCAAGUUUUUAUAAGGUUUAGGUAUGAGAUAAUAUCAGAAUUCACAUCUUAACUGUUUGCUUGUUCAAUAAGAGAUACUUAAGCUAACUCCUUAUUUAAUUUGAAUAAAGAAAAACAAAUGGCCUGUCUGACCAAAGCUAAGCAACAGGAAAGGAAACACAGCUCCUCUUACUUUCCUAGAGAAUCAUGGACCAAUUUUCAAUUUGGACCAACCAUGGAACCUUUUUCUGUAGCUUAUAGAAAUUCAUUCAAAAUGUACUUUUUGAGCACCUGCCAUGUGCCAGGCAUAAAUAUAUGUGGUGGGGAUAUAGCAGUCAAUGUGACAGUCUGUAAUUUCUCCCCUUGAGCCCCUUGCUAUGGAGACAGAGAAUGCAGCAAAGGGCAGGGAGAGCCAGGCGAAGGAGUAGUACUGUUUCCAAAAGGUCAGCCGGAGAAGACCCCCACAAGAAGGUGACAGGAGUAAAAACCUGAGGGAGGGAGCUGUGCUGAGGCCUGAAAGAACAUUUUGGGCAGAGGGAACAGUAAAAUGGGACAACCCUGAGAUGGGAACUGUUAAAAUAAUUAAUCGGGAGGACAUUUAGCUGAGCCACCUUCAGCACCUUUGGUUCCUACCUAAGCAAAUGGAAAACCAACUCAAUGUAAGCAGUAAAAUGAAACCAGCAUAACCAAUCAGAAACUGCCAGCUAACUUCUAACUAGAGACUUUACCAAUCAGAAACUGACCUCUCACCAGGGACUUUCUGCUGUAACCAAAUAUUUUCUUUGUCUUGCUUCCAUUAACACCUUAUAAAAGCCCCCUCCUCUCCUCCCCUCGGAGCGCCGGGCUGCUUGUGGUCUGGUGCUGCCCGAUUGCUGAAUCAUUUGAAGCUCAAAUAAACUCAUGAAAUUUU